Molecule: non-coding RNA, 1232 nt
Organism: Danio rerio (zebrafish)
Lineage: Eukaryota; Metazoa; Chordata; Actinopteri; Cypriniformes; Danionidae
Source: Ensembl
UUUUUUUACUUUAAAAAAUAUUAAAUUUCAAGUACUAAGUUUAAAAAUGUUUUCGGCUGAUAUUUUUCAUUUUAAAUUAUUUAUUAAAGUUGGGGUCAUUGUAUGUGGCGAUCUAUUUUUUUACAGUCUAUGCUCGCUAUCCCAAGGUUCAUUGCGAUCCCAAGGUUCACUGCGGUUUUCCACAAGCCUGUUUCUGCCUAUCACCAUGAGUGAUUCCUCAAUACUCAGAUUUAUCAUCAAGAUCUCAAUUAUAAGCUCAAGUUUUGAUGACAACUUGGCGAUCUGCAGAAAGCACCACCAUGUAAGGAAGUCCAAGACCACUCUGGAAUCAGUCAAGGGUGAAAUGGAGUGAGGCAUACAAGGAUAUGUCUGAUUUUACUCUUGGGAAGGAGGUUGAACAGUGCAAUAUUUCUUCUAUAGGAUUGCAGUGACCAGACAUGCUACUGUAACUCUCAUGGUCAUGUGCUGGAAUUAGCAGAUGUUCAACAAUUUGGCCAUCUCACUGACCUAUUGAUAUCAGAAGACCGCAACAGCUCUGCAAAGCAAGUUGCAAAACAGAAUCCAUGGAACUGGCAGUGACUGGAAACCAAUUGGAAGACUUUGGUCUGUGAUGUAGAGGAGUGGGCAGAGGGUGAGGAAAUUCUUAUUAAUAUUACAUGUAGUCAUGAAAAAUUGUAAGUGUUACUAUUAUUGUCAUUUUUUCAGUAGCAGAAGCAAAGACAACAAAAAACAGAAGUGAUAUGGAUGUCUUCGUCAUAUGGCAUGACUCUGCUGACCCAGCAACAAAGAGGAGGGUGUUCAACAUCAUCCUGCUAGUCAGGAUUCUUCAGGAGAAGCAGUGGAUUCUUGUGGCAGAGAUGGCCAACCACUAUAAAUACCUUUCAACUCAUCCUGGUUCUUUCAAAGAACUUUCCUGCUUGUUUGCUACUGAAAUAUUCGACAUGUGGCCUAAACGAAGAGGGGUCUAUGGAUCAUUAUUCUCAAAAAGCAACAAAAUAACUGAGAAAUAAACAACAAUACGAUGGUGCAAUCUAGAGACCUGCAAGGUACCUGCAAGUUUUGGCUGGAGCAGAAAACAUACAUUUUUUAAAUAAAGCUCCAGCUGAUGAGUUUGACAUUGACUGUGGAUUUUCUUUUAUUGUAAUCCAGAAGAGGAUGACCUUAACCCUGAAUCUAAAGCAUGUAAUAAAAUCUGUAAAAAUAAAAUAAAAUUUUCAUCAUCUAUAACCAAA